UCUCCGUAGGUGAACCUGCGGAGGGCUCAUUACCGAGUGAGGGUUCCGGCCCGACCUCCAACCCUUUGUUAAUUCGACCCAGUUGCCUCGGGGGCGACCCUGCCGUCCGCGGCUGAGCGCCCCCGGAGGCCAUUAAACACUGCAUCAUUGCGUCGGAGUUAAAGUAAAUUAAACAAAACUUUCAACAACGGAUCUCUUGGUUCCAGCAUCGAUGAAGAACGCAGC
This 225-nucleotide unclassified non-coding RNA is filed under the name uncultured fungus. RNAcentral's name for it is "sequence contains ITS1, 5.8S rRNA gene". The stretch from base 177 to 225 matches the Rfam family "5.8S ribosomal RNA", at positions 1 to 49 of the family's 154-position model. The record is from RNAcentral. Lineage: Eukaryota; Fungi.